GACGAACGCUGGCGGCGUGCCUAAUACAUGCAAGUCGAGCGAACGGACGAGAAGCUUGCUUCUCUGAUGUUAGCGGCGGACGUGUGAGUAACACGCGGAUAACCUACCUAUAAGACUGGGAUAACUUCGGGAAACCGGAACUAAUACCGGAUGAUAUUUUGAACCGCAUGGUUCAAAAGUGAAAGACGGUCUUGCUGUCACUUCUAGAUGGAUCCGCGCUGCAUUAGCUAGUUGGUAAGGUAACGGCUUACCAAGGCAACGAUGCAUAGCCGACCUGAGAGGGUGAUCGGCCACACUGGAACUGAGACACGGUCCAGACUCCUAAGGGAGGCAGCAGUAGGGAAUCGUCCGCAAUGGGCGAAAGCCUGACGGAGCAACGCCGCGUGAGUGAUGAAGGUCUUCGGAUCGUAAAACUCUGUUAUUAGGGAAGAACAUAUGUGUAAGUAACUGUGCACAUCUUGACGGUACCUAAUCAGAAAGCCACGGCUAACUACGUG
RNAcentral lists this ribosomal RNA (497 nucleotides) under uncultured bacterium. RNAcentral's name for it is "partial 16S ribosomal RNA". It matches the Rfam family "Bacterial small subunit ribosomal RNA", at positions 28 to 507 of the family's 1533-position model. The record is from RNAcentral.